AGUGAACGCUGGCGGUAGGCCUAGCACAUGCAAGUCGAACGGCAGCACAGUAAGAGCUUGCUCUUACGGGUGGCGAGUGGCGGACGGGUGAGGAAUACAUCGGAAUCUACUUUUUCGUGGGGGAUAACGUAGGGAAACUUACGCUAAUACCGCAUACGACCUACGGGUGAAAGCAGGGGAUCUUCGGACCCUGCGCGAUUGAAUGAGCCGAUGUCGGAUUAGCUAGUUGGCGGGGUAAAGGCCCACCAAGGCGACGAUCCGUAGCUGGUCUGAGAGGAUGAUCAGCCACACUGGAACUGAGACACGGUCCAGACUCCUACGGGAGGCAGCAGUGGGGAAUAUUGGACAAUGGGCGCAAGCCUGAUCCAGCCAUACCGCGUGGGUGAAGAAGGCCUUCGGGUUGUAAAGCCCUUUUGUUGGGAAAGAAAAGCAGCAGGUUAAUACCCCGCUGUUCUGACGGUACCCAAAGAAUAAGCACCGGCUAACUUCGUG
RNAcentral lists this ribosomal RNA (492 nucleotides) under uncultured bacterium. RNAcentral describes it as "partial 16S ribosomal RNA". It matches the Rfam family "Bacterial small subunit ribosomal RNA", at positions 29 to 507 of the family's 1533-position model. The record is from RNAcentral.